This 253-nucleotide ribosomal RNA is filed under the name uncultured bacterium. RNAcentral's name for it is "partial 16S ribosomal RNA". It matches the Rfam family "Bacterial small subunit ribosomal RNA", at positions 524 to 776 of the family's 1533-position model. The record is from RNAcentral.
UACGGGGGGGGCAAGCGUUUUUCGGAAUUACUGGGCGUAAAGGGCGCGUAGGCGGGUGGACAAGUCUCUCGUGAAAGCCCACGGCUCAACCGUGGAAUUGCGGGAGAUGCUGUCUGUCUUGAGUCCGGGAGAGGAGGGUGGAAUUCCCAGUGGAGCGGUGAAAUGCGUAGAUAUCUGGAGGAACACCCGUGGCGAAAGCGGCUCACUGGCGCGAAACUGACGCUGAGGCUCGAAAGCGUGGGGAGCGAACGGG